CUUCUAGGGUCUCUCACCAGAACUUCAUGGAAAGAUAUAAAUUGCUAACAAGACUCCGACCUCGUACAUCCUCUGGCCUCAGGAGCCUGUGUCCUGCCAAAGGGUCCUCUGCAUCUGCUUUGGUGGCCUCUGUCUCCAGAGAGGCUCUAGGCAGCUAACUGUGGUCAGAGCCCUCAGAGCAGCCUCUGUGUGCCAAGGAGGCCACACUGCAGCCUCUACUACAGGACAUUCUCCAUGCUCUGCCAGCUUUAAUUCAGACAGCAACCACUCCCAGUGACCCAGCUAAGACUGCACAAAUCCCACUAUACUGUGGCAGGACAAAGAUUUUCAUGACUGACUCCAUGCUAGAGCUUCUGGAAUGUGGGCGUGCCCAGAUGCUAGAGCAGUGUGCCCGCUGCAUCCAGUGUGGCUGGAGGCGACACCGGCUCCAAAAGCAGGAGAAGCAGAGGCGGGCGGCCGUGAUCAUUCAGGCAGCUUUUCGGUCCUGGUUAACUCGGAAACACAUCAGAAGGUUACACAUAGCUGCCACAGUCAUCAAGCACGCAUGGCAUAAGUGGAGAAUCAGAAUGGCCUGUCUUGCCUCUAAAGAACUGGAUGGUAUGGAGGAAAAACUCAUGCCUCAGGCUCCCGGUACCCUGCGUUCCUCGCUGUCCCCAGCACACACUAGGUUCCUGGGAGCAAUAAUCCACCUCUGGCCCCUGGG
RNAcentral lists this long non-coding RNA (703 nucleotides) under Rattus norvegicus (Norway rat). RNAcentral's name for it is "long non-coding RNA NONRATT004683". Lineage: Eukaryota; Metazoa; Chordata; Mammalia; Rodentia; Muridae. The record is from RNAcentral.